This 241-nucleotide long non-coding RNA is filed under the name Nicotiana benthamiana. RNAcentral's name for it is "long non-coding RNA (NBEN_LNC039339)". Lineage: Eukaryota; Viridiplantae; Streptophyta; Magnoliopsida; Solanales; Solanaceae. The record is from RNAcentral.
GAUUGAAUUUUAAAUAAAUUUGGUCCAAAAAGAUUAUCAAUCAAUCAGAUCAUUUGACCAAAUCCAAAUCCAAAUCCAAAGCCGAAGCCGAAGCCGAAGCCGAAGCCGAAGCCGAAGCCGAAGCCGAGCCGAGUGACGACGACGACGCGAGGGGAGUCCCUCUUCUUAACCCUUUAAGAGCUAGAAGAAGUGCUUUCUAAUAUAAGCACAUAACUUUCCCUUUCUACCACCAAUGUGGUAN